RNAcentral lists this ribosomal RNA (370 nucleotides) under uncultured organism. Its description in RNAcentral is "bacterial SSU rRNA". It matches the Rfam family "Bacterial small subunit ribosomal RNA", at positions 526 to 896 of the family's 1533-position model. The record is from RNAcentral.
CGAACCGUCCAAACGUUAUUCGGAAUCACUGGGCUUACAGAGUUCGUAGGCGGUCUGGAAAGUUGGGUGUGAAAUCCCUCGGCCUAACCGAGGAACUGCGCUUGAAACUACCAGACUCGAGGGGGAUAGAGGAAAGCGGAACUGAUGGUGGAGCGGUGAAAUGCGUUGAUAUCAUCAGGAACACCGGUGGCGAAGGCGGCUUUCUGGGUCUUACCUGACGCUGAGGAACGAAAGCCAGGGGAGCGAACGGGAUUAGAUACCCCGGUAGUCCUGGCCGUAAACGAUGAGCACUAGGUCGUGGGCCUCCACAGGCCCUCGGCCGUAGCGAAAGUGUUAAGUGCUCCGCCUGGGGAGUAUGGUCGCAAGGCUG